RNAcentral lists this ribosomal RNA (739 nucleotides) under uncultured bacterium. RNAcentral's name for it is "bacterial SSU rRNA". It matches the Rfam family "Bacterial small subunit ribosomal RNA", at positions 8 to 796 of the family's 1533-position model. The record is from RNAcentral.
AGAGUUUGAUCAUGGCUCAGAACGAACGCUGGCGGCAGGCCUAAUACAUGCAAGUCGAACGCACCUUCGGGUGAGUGGCAGACGGGUGAGUAACGCGUGGAAACCUUCCCAAUAGUACGGAAUAACUUCGGGAAACCGGUGCUAAUACCGUAUACGCCCUUCGGGGGAAAGAUUUAUCGCUAUUGGAUGGGUCCGCGUCGGAUUAGCUUGUUGGUGGGGUAAUGGCCCACCAAGGCGACGAUCCGUAGCUGGUCUGAGAGGAUGAUCAGCCACACUGGGACUGAGACACGGCCCAGACUCCUACGGGAGGCAGCAGUAGGGAAUCUUGGACAAUGGGCGAAAGCCUGAUCCAGCCAUGCCGCGUGAGUGAAGAAGGCCUUAGGGUUGUAAAGCUCUUUUGGCGGGGACGAUAAUGACGGUACCCGCAGAAUAAGCCCCGGCUAACUUCGUGCCAGCAGCCGCGGUAAUACGAAGGGGGCUAGCGUUGUUCGGAAUUACUGGGCGUAAAGCGCUCGCAGGCGGAAUGAUAAGUCGGGGGUGAAAUCCCGGGGCUCAACCUCGGAAUUGCCUUCGAUACUGUCAAUCUCGAGUCCGGGAGAGGUGAGUGGAAUUCCUAGUGUAGAGGUGAAAUUCGUAGAUAUUAGGAAGAACACCAGUGGCGAAGGCGGCUCACUGGCCCGGUACUGACGCUCAUGAGCGAAAGCGUGGGGAGAAACAGGAUUAGAUACCCUAGUAGUCC